AUUGAACUCAGGGGCACUCACUGUAAGGCACAUCCCCAGUCCUAUUUUGUAUUUUAUUUAUAGAGGCAGGGUCUCACUGAGUUUUUCUUAGUACCUCGCUUUUGCUGAGGCCGGCUUUGAACUUGUGAUCCUGUGCUUCAGCCUCCUGAGCUGCUGGGAUUACAGGCAUGUGCUACCACGUCCAGCUCAGUUUUUCUUUUUAAGAAACUAAAAAUGGAAGACUAAAUUAAACCCCCAGAGCAAGUAGAAGGAAAAAAAAAAAUUAAAACGAAACUUGAAUCAGUAAACUUAAGCAUGAAACAGAAAGAGAAAAUAAAUUGUGCAAAUAAUAGCUAAUUCCAGUAAAUGACCAGAGAAAUUGAAAUAGUUAUUGCCAGGCUACCAAGAAAAGAUGAAUGACAAAUGUCAAGAGUAAAAGGUUAUCAUUGAUGAGGGCUAUCAUUAAAUCCCCAAAUUCUAAGAAGGUACAAAUGGAAUAUUUUGAACAAUUUAUCUCCACAAAUUUGAUGAAAAGAACAAUUUCAUGAAGAUCACAAACUGCUGCCUAUUUAAAAAGUAGGUUAUCUGAAUCCUAUAUAUGUUUAAGAAAUUUACUUAGUAGAUAAGUUUUCACAUAAGGAAAACUCAAUAGUUUUCCCAUAUUGUUUCACUGGUGAAUUCUGCCAAACAAUAAAGGAAGAAAGUACAGUACGAAUCCAGCAUAUAAGACCAUUCAAGAAAACUACAAAUUACUACUUUUCAUGAAUAUGAAAAAAUCAUUUUGUCAAGUGUGAUUUAUUUUGGGAAAUACUGACUAUUUGAGCCUUUGAAAAUCAUUGUAAUCAAGUAUAACAAUAAAGAAAAAGCAUGUGAUCAUCUUAAUUAGUGAAGAAGAGAUGGUAUUUGACAAGAUUAAAUAUCUACUUAUAACAAAAACUCAGGAAACCAGGAAUGAUACAGACCCUUAAACUACCAGUGUCUAUAGAACCUAUCUUCAUUUUGAUGGUGAAAUAUUGAAUAAUGAAAGUCUUUCUCCUAAAGUUGUAAACAAGGAAAGGAGGUACAAACUCUAGAUUCCUGUUCAGCCUCUCACUAGCAGUAUGGCCAGUGAAAUGAAAAAAGAAGAAAGUAUAAAAAUUAAGAAUGAAAUAAAGUUGUUCUUAGAGAUGGCAUGAUUUGGAUGUAGCAAAUACCUAAAAAUUAGCAAAAUGGCUCCUACAAACAAUAAGUGAGUUAAGGUGUAUGUGAACAAUCAAUUGUACUGUAUAUUUUCAAUAAACAACCAGAAAUUUAAUUUCCUUUUCAAUAUUACUUCUCAUGAUGCCAAGUCUAAGAAAGAAUUGGGUGUAUAUCACUGAAAUAUGUGCUAGGCCUGAAUGUUGGAAAAUCCUUGCCAAUUUUUUAUGGAAAGAUGUAUACCCUAGCUGGGUAAGAAGAUUUGUUAAGAUGUCCACUCUUCCCCCACUUGGUUCAUUCUCUUUAAAAAAAUCCCUGCAGAAUAUUUUGUUGAUGUUGCCAGGUUAACUCAGAUUUGGUUGGUUUAAAGCAACAGAACUAGCAGAACCACCAGGUUUGAAAACACAGACAAAACCGGAUGGCUUAUAUUACAAAUCCAAAACUUAUUUUAAAGAUACUCAAGAUAGUGUGGUAUUGACAAAAUAAAAGACACAUAAAUCAUUGAAACAAAAGAUCAGCAAUGGGCUCACACACGGCCAAUUAAAUUUUGACAAAGGGAGAAACCAAUUCAGUGGAGAAAAGAUAGUUCUUUUCAAUAUUUAAGAGAAAAAUCUAACACCUGUAUGAAAUAAUAAGGAAGACCUCAACACAUUUCUCUCACUUUAGGUCUAUGGAUCAUAGACGUAAAUGUAAAAUGUAAACUCUGAAGUCCCUGUG
Molecule: long non-coding RNA, 1872 nt
Filed under: Marmota monax (woodchuck)
Lineage: Eukaryota; Metazoa; Chordata; Mammalia; Rodentia; Sciuridae
Source: RNAcentral